Penaeus chinensis is the source of this 595-nucleotide long non-coding RNA. RefSeq lists it as uncharacterized. The transcript is spliced from 3 exons. The record is from RefSeq and is a predicted model, not a curated record. Lineage: Eukaryota; Metazoa; Arthropoda; Malacostraca; Decapoda; Penaeidae.
GCAAGCCAGCCAGCGCUCCUCGUCACAUAGCCAACUCGUCCACGGCUACGGGUACAUAUAGACUUUAUUCGCCCGCUGCAGGAAAAGCUGAAUGGCUCGCUGAUUGGCGAAUGGCUUUAGUGUAACCCUCGAACAAAGUGUGAUUUGAGAGGCGAGUGUGCGAUCCUGAAUUCUGGAGCGAAUCGCCCGCGAUCUUCGAGGAGAGAGCCGAGCAAGGAGAAAAAACUCCGGGCGCCAAAUAGUUUCAGCGCAGCGUUUAUAAGCCUAAAAGGAUGUCGCUGGCUACAAUCUCGGUAACUGUGUCCUGGCUACCUAUCGGAUCAAUGAUCACUCGAGGCAUGCAGGUAUCCCUUGGAGGCAUAGGAUUUCCCAGUCUCCCUCAGCGACUAGCCUCUGUGGGUCGAAAUAUGCUGUCUGCAACUCGCGUCCGAAGUUUGAGCUGAAAAAACAACUUUGAUGAAGUUAUUGCCGGUAAUGGCAUUAACGAGAACAUUAAUGAUACAAAUCUUGAUGGUUAUAACACUGAUGAUGAUAAUAAUGAUGACAAUGAUAGUAACAGUGAUUGUAGUAAUGAUGAUGAAUGAUUAUAAUAAUG